RNAcentral lists this long non-coding RNA (914 nucleotides) under Daucus carota (carrot). RNAcentral describes it as "long non-coding RNA (DCAR_LNC007636)". The record is from RNAcentral. Lineage: Eukaryota; Viridiplantae; Streptophyta; Magnoliopsida; Apiales; Apiaceae.
GUCAAUUCAGAAUUCUAAUUAGCAUCAAGUAGCCAACAAUCCAAAAGGGGUACCAUGACUGUUACAAUAUAGUCUUACAAACCAUUUCAAGUCUAAAUUGCAUAUAUAAGUUAGCCAUUAAAGUCAAGGCUUAAUUGGAACAAAAGUAUGUAGUCUAAACGGAGAUAAUUAAACGAAGUCAAGAAGACAUAUGGAGUCAUCUAUUCAUUCAUUUUUCUUCAGAUUUAAAGAACAUAGCACUACUGCUUCUUUCUUUUUUCUUCAUUCUGCAAUGCGUUUUCUAUUCAGGCUUUGUUACUGGGAUUCAACCCUGUCAAAUGUAGUGCAUGCAGCCGAUGCUUCUUUUCCUCCUGUGAUGUUUCCUUUAAGUUCCUGCAUCAAGUAUUUUGCAUAGAUAUACUUUAGACAUAAACUUAAAACUUUCACUCUUUAAUUAUCAAGAAAUUAGGUCUUUAAGCCUCUCAAAACAUUUGUUCAAAAUCCGAGAUUAGCUUCUUCAGUAUUUAUAGGCUCAUAUUUAAAUAUGCCAAUGUUUUUGGGAUCUUGUGAAAGAACAGUAUAUAAUGGUUAAAUGUCUGCAGAGCAAGACUAUAAAGACUACACACAGACACACACUCUCUGCUAAUUAGUGUCUCCUAUUAUUUACCCUGAAGAGCCGAUGAGAGUUGCAGAUAUAAGCAGAUAUUCCAAGUAUGACGGUAUAUCUAGAUGAAUUCUCACCACUUUAAUCAUAGACAGAUACUCUCCACUCCAGCUGGCUGAAUGAGAAACUCAUUGUCCUGCAUGCAAUAAUCACAAUAGCUUUAGAAUCACAAGUGCACCCAUUAGAUGCAAAAGACUGUGCAAAUGAAUCAAACCAGCUGAUCAGGAAGUUUCUCAGGUUUAAUAUGGUCAGCAGGUACUGCAGUAGUGUC